RNAcentral lists this ribosomal RNA (450 nucleotides) under Kiekie barrocolorado. Its description in RNAcentral is "partial large subunit ribosomal RNA". The record is from RNAcentral. Lineage: Eukaryota; Metazoa; Arthropoda; Arachnida; Araneae; Ctenidae.
CAUUUCUAUUAGAUAUAAUUAAUAGUAUAAUCUGCUCAAUGAAUAUUAAUAAAUAGCCGCAAUACGUGCUAAGGUAGUAUAAUAAUUUGUCUUUUAAUUAAAGACCAAACGAAAGAUUUAACAUUUUAGUUUAUGUAAUAUCAAAUUUAUUAAAAUUAUUUUAAUAAUUAAAAAAUUUUUCUUUAUAAAAAAGACGACAAGACCCUAUCGAACUUAACUUUAGUUUAACUGGGGUAGUUAAUAAAUUAAAACUUUAUUAAUUUACUUUUAAAUAAAGAUCUAAUAAAAUUAAUUUAAAGAUUAAGUUACCGUAGGGAUAACAGUGUAAUAAAAUUUGUAAGAACUUAUUUUAAUAAUAGAUUACAACCUCGAUGUUGAAUUAAUAACCUAAUUUACGCAAUAGUAAAUAAAGAAAGUCUGUUCGACUUUUAAAUAAUUACAUGAUCUGAG